Molecule: ribosomal RNA, 349 nt
Filed under: uncultured fungus
Lineage: Eukaryota; Fungi
Description: SSU rRNA
Rfam family: Eukaryotic small subunit ribosomal RNA
Source: RNAcentral
GUAGUCAUAUGCUUGUCUCAAAGAUUAAGCCAUGCAUGUCUAAGUAUAAGCAAUUUAUACGGUGAAACUGCGAAUGGCUCAUUAAAUCAGUUAUCGUUUAUUUGAUAGUACCUUACUACAUGGAUACCUGUGGUAAUUCUAGAGCUAAUACAUGCUAAAAACCUCGACUUCGGAAGGGGUGUAUUUAUUAGAUAAAAAACCAAUGCCCUUCGGGGCUCCUUGGUGAAUCAUAAUAACUUAACGAAUCGCAUGGCCUUGCGCCGGCGAUGGUUCAUUCAAAUUUCUGCCCUAUCAACUUUCGAUGGUAGGAUAGUGGCCUACCAUGGUGGCAACGGGUAACGGGGAAUGA